AAGUCGUAACAAGGUUUCCGUAGGUGAACCUGCGGAAGGAUCGUUAUUGAAAUAAACCUGAUGGGUUGUUGCUGGUUCUCUAGGGAGCAUGUGCACGCCUUGUCAUCUUUAUAUCUCCACCUGUGCACCUUUUGUAGAUCUUUCAGGUCUAUGUUUGCUUCAUUUACACACAAUGCAUGUUAAUAGAAUGUUGUGCCUAUGUAAUAUAUACAACCUUCAACAACGGAUCUCUUGGCUCUCGCAUCGAUGAAGAACGCAGCGAAAUGCGAUAAGUAAUGUGAAUUGCAGAAUUCAGUGAAUCAUCGAAUCUUUGAACGCACCUUGCGCUCCUUGGUAUUCCGAGGAGCAUGCCUGUUUGAGUGUCUUGAAAUCAUCAAACCCCUCUGGUUUCUGCUGGAGCGGGUUUGGACUUGGGGGUUUUGCUGCCUCUGGCGGCUCCCCUUAAAUGAAUCGGUCGGGCUUUCGUGUGGCUUGUCCCUUGGCGUUGUAUCAACCUCGUCGCUGGAUGGCUCGCGAGCUUAGCGCCCCUCCAAGACCAGCCUCUGGAGUGGCGGUCAACUUCAAUUUGUGAUCUGACCUCAAAUCAGGUAGGACUACCCGCUGAACUUAAGCAUAUCAAUAAGCGGAGGAAAAGAAACUAACAAGGAUUCCCCUAGUAACUGCGAGUGAAGCGGGAAAAGCUCGAAUUUAAAAUCUGGCGGCUCCGCCGUCCGAGUUGUAUUCUGGAGAA
Molecule: unclassified non-coding RNA, 730 nt
Filed under: uncultured Cortinarius
Lineage: Eukaryota; Fungi; Basidiomycota; Agaricomycetes; Agaricales; Cortinariaceae
Description: sequence contains ITS1, 5.8S rRNA gene and ITS2
Rfam family: 5.8S ribosomal RNA (bases 212-365)
Source: RNAcentral